Molecule: ribosomal RNA, 497 nt
Filed under: uncultured bacterium
Lineage: Bacteria
Description: partial 16S ribosomal RNA
Rfam family: Bacterial small subunit ribosomal RNA
Source: RNAcentral
GACGAACGCUGGCGGCGUGCCUAAUACAUGCAAGUUGAGCGCUGAAGGUUGGUACUUGUACCAACUGGAUGAGCAGCGAACGGGUGAGUAACGCGUGGGGAAUCUGCCUUUGAGCGGGGGACAACAUUUGGAAACGAAUGCUAAUACCGCAUAAAAACUUUAAACACAAGUUUUAAGUUUGAAAGAUGCAAUUGCAUCACUCAAAGAUGAUCCCGCGUUGUAUUAGCUAGUUGGUGAGGUAAAGGCUCACCAAGGCGAUGAUACGUAGCCGACCUGAGAGGGUGAUCGGCCACAUUGGGACUGAGACACGGCCCAAACUCCUACGGGAGGCAGCAGUGGGGAAUCUUCGGCAAUGGACGAAAGUCUGACCGAGCAACGCCGCGUGAGUGAAGAAGGUUUUCGGAUCGUAAAACUCUGUUGGUAGAGAAGAACGUUGGUGAGAGUGGAAAGCUCAUCAAGUGACGGUAACUACCCAGAAAGGGACGGCUAACUACGUG